This 71-nucleotide transfer RNA is filed under the name Calliotropis micraulax. Its description in RNAcentral is "tRNA-His". Lineage: Eukaryota; Metazoa; Mollusca; Gastropoda; Seguenziida; Calliotropidae. The record is from RNAcentral.
GGGGAGUUAGUUUAUAGCUAAAAUGUCAGGAUGUGGCCCUGAAGAGUGUGGGUUGGGCCCUCAACUUAACA